UGAAACUAAUUUUUAAAUCUCUAAUUUCAUCAAAUCUAACCUAUUCAUGAAAUUAAAAAGAUGAAUUUUUUCGUACCUAUUUGAAGUCAUAUUGGUCGAUUAACUAGUGUUUGAUUGUUCAAUUCUUUUUCUUCUUGGGAUUGAUCAUCAUCAUUAGUCAUCAUCGAAGAAGAUGAAGAAGUGGGCAAAGAAAAAAAGGAAGAGAUUUUAUUUAGUUUUUUGUUUAUGUUUAUGUUUAUGUUUAGUUUUUGAUUUUUAACUAGAUUUACGUUAGUUAUUAAUGGUAAUUUUAUAAAUUAUGAGUGUGAUUUUCAUUUUUAUAAUAAUUAAAUCUCCUUAUCUACUUAUAGGAUAUUUGAAUCUAUAUGAGCCCUCAAAAUCAAAAUCUUGAAGCCCUUAUAAUAGGAUUCUUCUACAAAACCUAAGCAGUUUUUCUCCACCUGUCCGAACUCAUCCGCAAAGUCGAGAGCUAAUCAUACAUGCCACUCUUGUAGUUAAUGAAGCUCUUUAUUGGAUGGCAAAUGUUGAAUCUAGGGCUAUACCAUACGAAGACUCGUAAGUUAUUGUUUACUUCGAUAUCGAGAAAGAGUAGUUCGAUGAAAUGUCAUUGCCUGACUGAUCGGUGAAAGAUUUGAAACAAGUUUGUGCCUUUCAGGAUGGUCUCUUUGCUUGCUUGGUUUCGGUCCUAAGGUGUUGAUAUGUGGGAGAUGAAGUAUGAAUGAGCUGAAAAAUCAUGGACCAAGAUUCAACAUUGACAUGCAAAAUCAAUUUUGGUU
Long non-coding RNA from Papaver somniferum (opium poppy), 776 nucleotides. RefSeq lists it as uncharacterized. The record is from RefSeq and is a predicted model, not a curated record. Lineage: Eukaryota; Viridiplantae; Streptophyta; Magnoliopsida; Ranunculales; Papaveraceae. The transcript is spliced from 2 exons.